AGCGAACGCUGGCGGCGUACUUAACACAUGCAAGUCGAACGAGGAUCGCUACGUGAGCAAUCAUGCGGCGGUUCUAGUGGCGUACGGGUGAGUAACACGUGGGCAACCUGCCCUGGAGCCUGGGAUACCCUCUCGAAAGGGAGGCUAAUACCGGAUACGUUCCCCGGGUCGCGAGAUCUGGGGAGGAAAGGUGGCGCAAGCUGCCGCUCUUGGAGGGGCUCGCGGCCUACAGCUAGUUGGUGAGGUAAUGGCUCACCAAGGCUAUGGACGGGUAGCUGGUCUGAGAGGACGACCAGCCACGACGGGGACUGAGACACCGGCCCCGACU
RNAcentral lists this ribosomal RNA (328 nucleotides) under uncultured bacterium. RNAcentral's name for it is "bacterial SSU rRNA". It matches the Rfam family "Bacterial small subunit ribosomal RNA", at positions 28 to 337 of the family's 1533-position model. The record is from RNAcentral.